This 2036-nucleotide long non-coding RNA is filed under the name Macaca fascicularis (crab-eating macaque). RNAcentral's name for it is "lncRNA (ENSMFAG00000055436.1)". The record is from RNAcentral. Lineage: Eukaryota; Metazoa; Chordata; Mammalia; Primates; Cercopithecidae.
UUUUUAUUUUAUUUUUGAGAUGGAGUCUUGCUCUGUCACCCAGGCUGGAGUGCAGUGGCACAAUCUUGGCUCACUGCAACCUCUGCCACCUGGGUUCAAGAGAUUCAGCCUCUGCCUCAGCCUCCAGAGUAGCUGGGAUUAUAGGCCUGCGCCACCACACCUGGCUAAUGUUUGUAUUUUUAGUAGAGACAAGGUUUCACCAUGUUGGCCAGGCUGAUCUCAAACUCCUGACCUCAAGUGAUCCUCCCACCUCGGACUCCCAAAGUGUUGGGAUUACAGGCGCGAGCCACUGCGCUCUGCCAGCACCUGCAUCUUGUAAACGGAGAAAGUGCUUAUGACAUAAACCCCAGGAGCCCAUGGCCAUGAGGAUUAGAGGUAAUGCAACUGUCAACCCAUUAGCCUGGUAUCAGGCAGGUACCAGACACUGCUUAUCCCUUCAGUGUAGUUCUGCUGGGCUCUGAGGAGGCCAGAUCACUGCUCUUGGGUUUAUAUCCAGAAGGGGAGUUGGACGCAAACAGCUAAGUCCAUGGCACAAAACAGAAUAAAUACCAUAAUCAUAAUUGAUCACAUGGUCACAACCAGUACCACUACUCCCCAGAAAAUCUUUCUUCUCAGCUGUCAGCAGGGAAUAUAAUAGUGUCACUUUCAUUUCACUUCUAGAGCAAAGCUUAACUUUCUUGAGUGUGUAACACUCAUAGAGGAUGUUGUUAAAAUGCAAAUUCCCAACACCUUCCACCCAGCCCCAGAGUCUACUUCUGUGGGUCUGAGAGGGACCCAGGAAUGGCACUUUUAAUGGCCCCUCAUGAGAUUGAUGUGGAUGGUUCCCAAACCCUGUGAGGUGGACUGUCAGUGCAGUGGAGCCUGGGGGAUGCCCAUUUGUGCUUAGGCCACUGAGAAAUGUAGAGGCUCAAUAGGCCUUUGGUAUAUUCAAAGGUGAGUGAAGGAUAACAAGGUGAAGAGAUGCCUGUGAAUCUGAUUUUUUGGAUGACUGCAACCAAGAGUGAGUGGGCAUGAAAAACAAUCCAAGAGCUCACAUUUAUAUGAGGCUCUUAUCAGUACUGAGACAUUCUCAUUUCACAAGCUUGGAUGUGCAAAAAGAAAAAAAAAUUACUUAUUUCUUUAAAUCAGUUAUUGAUUUCAAACCCCCCAUCCUGCUGUCUGGCUGGAAAUUCAGUAUCAACCAUGAUUGGUUCUGGCUCCUGGAGCCAUCUGAAAGUCCUUGGAUGCCACUUACCCUUGAAUCAAGGGUGCCAUUGUGGGUCUUUGGUCCCUUUCCCAUUUGAGGCUGUUUAAUGGCCCUGCUUCUCACCUGAGCCUGGAAAUCCUACAAAGCCUAGACCCCAGGGUUAGGCCCACCUCCCUGUGCACACUCGCAGCCAUGCCCUCUCCCAGCCCCAGUCCUAGGAAGCCCACUCCUCUGCACCACUCCCUCUCUUCACCCAAUCCAGCCCCUCACGGGCUGAACAAAAAAGCCAGAAAAGGAAGAGUGUGCAGGAACCUUUUAUAGUCCAUCCUUCUUUGACGCUUCUUGGAAAAAGUACAAAUACAGUGAUAACUAAAUACCAUAUCUCUAUCGAUUAUCCUUUGGCCCAAAGCCCUCUGGGGUGAUCCUCCAUGAUGGAUGUCCCAUUUAAAGGUGAGGAAUCUGAUUCUGAGGAAGCAACCGUUGUGGACAGCUUCACAUAAUAGCUGGCCAGGCCUAGACUCAAACCAGGCUGUCCACCUCUCUCUGGUCCAGCCCAAUCUCCCCAGCUGAGUCAUUCUGAAGAGUCAGCAUGGACUAAAAUGGUGGAGAGGCCCCUCUUUUCCCACUGAUGUUCACUGGCCCAUGGGACAGAAGUGGGGGAAUCUCUUGAGGGCCAAUUAAAGUGGGUAAAGGAGGCAGGAGAACCAGGUAACAGUUCAUGUACUUACCUUCUAUUCAACAACUAUUCAUUAAACAGGGCAAUUUAUCCCUAUAGCACCAUGAGUUAAAGGAGAGUUGUGGAGAAAAGAGGGAAGGGGUUUGAGAAGAAAAGGCCCUGAGAAUCCUGCAC